AGAAGUUCUACCUUAACAGGCAAACGUUAGGAACUAUUACUAAUGUCUGAUGACCAACAUAAAUUAUUUCCAGCAAAUAUUUUCAAGUUUAGUUUUAAAAUAAAAUUAUCAAGCGGAAUUAUAAAUUUUUUUGAGACAAAAAAACCCAAAACUGGACACUUUGUUGAACACUUUAUUGUUCCUUUUGUUGAUUUUGUGUAUCAAUAUUUCCUUCCAGUUCGUUAUAAAAAAGCCCGACUCAUUAAAACUUGUCAUUUCCUUAAACUCAUUUCUACAUUUGGAUUUUGGAUUAAUAUAAUUAAAACUUGUCAUUUUGUUCCCUUAACGACAUAUUCUGUAUCACAGAAAUUUUUUGACAUGUUUAAAAUCACACGUGUCGUAAUGUUUGCCCAGUAAAAAAAAAAGGUAGUGCUGUUACAGAGACAGCGAUUUAGCUUCAUUGCAAACCGUAGUGCUUCUAUAGGAAGUAAUUCCUAGCGCGUCUGCCUUGAAAGCUAAGUCAAACAAAGGAGAAACAGUAAAAUGUAUUAUAUUAUCAUGCAUCCUAUAUCCAUAUUGUUUUGCAAGUUGAUCCGCCACCUCAUUUUGUUUCUUGUAGUUGCGUUCAUUCAAAGGUUCUCUUAGUUGGUUCAGCAAUGACCUGCAACCAUGAACAAUGUCAGAACAAUGUAAGUUAUUGUCGCGGAGGAACAAUGUAAGAGAGAUACUUGGGAGCAUCGACUCUUUUAUGGAUGAUAGGGCAACAAAAACCUUUUGUUCAUUUGACUGUAUGUUUGCACUAACAUUAAUAGAGGAAGGUAUCAAAUAUUAUAAACUUCAGUACGAAGGUAGUGCUGGGUGCCACAUUUACAAUUUGAAAAAAAGCAAAGAAAAAGUGUUUCCUUGAUUCUUCCUACAAGGAUUCUAAAACUUAAAACUUCUAAACAGCAUUCGAACUAUUUGCAAGAUUUUCGUUACACCCAAAACAGAAAAAGAAAAUAUCAUUCAUCCAUCCCCCAAUUUAAUACGAACUUCUGCUUUGAAAGGUCAAUAGACCUAUGACUGUUCUCCAUACCUCCAUAAUUAUUUCAUUUUUCAUUUAGUGAACUUGAAUUAUGUUUGCUUUAAGUUUUUUAUGCCCAAGCCCCCUUCCAUUUCACUAGAUUAAAACACCUCUUAUCUCUAUCUCCUUGCCAUAUAAAGUUCCUUAUUAAAGCAUCAGUCUUCUUUUCAAUUUUUACUGGUAUAUUUGGCAGAUAGCUUGAUUAGUUAACAAUGUACUUGACUCAUUAACCAUCAAUAUUUCAUGUUGCAUCCAUUAUCUAUCUACCACAAAUAAAAGUGAUUUGAUGAGUGUCUUAUCAGUUUGUCCACCAUUUUUUUGAGUCUCUAGAUACCAGCUUAGAGUACCAGAAAUUAUGCCCUAAAGGACAUGUGUGGGAGCUGUCAUUAGCGUGAAAAUAGUCGUAGGAAUUGUUUCCCACAACAAUGAGUUUACACCAAGGAGAACGAAACGAGCCCCUACGUGUUUACCCUAGUCUAGACAAGUUAGCAAAUACAGUACAAGAUGAAGUCCCAUGAUGUAUGCUAUUUGCUAAUGAUUUGUGUUAAUUGACAAAUCUAGCAAGGGUGUCAACCAAAAGCUUGACUUAUGGAGAAAAACGUUAGAAAGUAAGGGUUUUGGGAUAAGUAGAAGUAACAGAAUGAAAUUACAAAUGAAGGUGUUACUCGUUAAAAUCAGAUGGUUGAAAUGAAGAAGUGCUAUCAAGUGAAAUGUGAUAGAAGGAUGCCUACCAAAUUGAAAGUUAAAAAGUAUAUAGAACAACUAUAAGACUUACAAUGUUAUAUGGUGGUUGAAUGUUGGGUCGCUAAAGAUACAAUCCAAGUUCACUUGAGAUGGUUUGAACAUGUUUUACAAAUGCACUAAUUCGUUGGUGUGAAACAAUAGUAAGUGAAAGUGUUGAAAAGAGAUGGGCAAAUCUAAAAUGACAUGGAAGAAAGUCUCGAAAGACCUAUAAAUGCAUGGUGUUAAUGCAGACUUAGCUAACAAUUAGGCAUAAUAGAAGAAAAAGAUCUAUAGAGGUGAUAAGCUACUAGUUGAGAAUAGAUUUUAGACUUGUUAGAUAAAUUCUAAUAUUAUUAUUAUUAUUAUCAUUAUAUAUCCAUAAACAGCCUCUUAGGGAACUUUCACAAAAAUAAAUUAUUGCAUGUACCCAACAUCCCAAAACAGGGGUAACCCAAUACUGUCCUCCAGUUGUACUGAAAGAAGUCUGAAAUAGCAAAUCACCCAAGAAAUUUGCUGCUCCAACCGUUUCGUGCAGCAAUCUUGAUUGCCAGCAUGUCCAUUCUUGUCUAAACAUAUUUGCUCUAUCAUCAUCUCAUGAAGCAUUUCUCAUUUAGUCAUUACCUACUGAUGGCUAACAACUUGCUAUUGUUGACGUGUCAUUGUUGUUGUUAGGAUUAUUUUAUCUAGUACCAUUCUACAACUAAACAAUUGUUUUUAACUUUAUGGGAGAAGAGAGAGGGCAAGAAAAGUUUGACCCAAGAAAUUGGAUGCCUCUUUGGUUUUUAUCAUAUUCAAUAAUCGGAUCCCAAUACUAACCUUAUUUACCCCAACCACCUACUGCUAGUUCCUUAACUCGCAGCAAGCGUUAUGCAUCUUUUCUCUAGUAUGCAUUUAUGUUAUACUAGUCAUGUUUAAGAAAUUCUCUUCUUUAUCUGUUUUUUUUUUUUUUUGAGUGAGGUGGGUAGGUUGAAGGUAUUCCAAGGAGUCUUAUUUUGAAAACUAAGACGGGUCAACAGAAUGGAGUUUGGAUAAACAAUACGAUUUAGUAAGGGAAAACUUGAACAUUGGACCAUAAUGCAUGGCUACAUGCAUUUGGGUUUUCAUCCUGAAAUAUCCCCUUGUUAUUCUUUGUCUGAAGUCAGGUUGUAUGUUUCAACAUUCAAUAACUAGUAUAGAAUUGAGAAGCAACAUAGACAAUGCCUACAGAAAUAACGUGUGAUGAAGAUAACACACUUAGAUAUAUUCAUUAGAGCAUGUUCACCAUAUCUCUCUUGUUUUGCUUUAAUAUUAAGCAUGAAGGCAACAGCCACAACUAAUGAGUAUUUCAUACCUUGAUGAUUGGUACAUGAAAGUAGAGUAAAAGGAGCAAAACAGACUUCAGUGACAUACCUUAAAGACAGUACCAUUCACUUUGUAAAGGUUUUGUGCGCUAUCACUCCCAAGUCCAUUCAACUGACAAACACAGAAAAAGGAAUCAAAUACCAGAAUUGCAGCCAUCAGAUUAAUAAGAGGCUGCAAAAGAUAUUACCUGCGUUGUUCAAUUUAUGUCCUUUCUUAUAAGUAGAUAAUAAAGACACUUCUGAAUAUAUUUACUUUGACAGCAUGAAGUCGGUGAUUGAAAGAUACAACAAAACAAAGGAGGAGAAUCAUCAAUUGGCAACUCCAACUUCUGAGGUUAGGGUAAGUUUCACUGGUUAAUUUGCAGUCAACUAAUCAAAGAAAAAUAUGCAUAGCUAAGCUUUCUAUCAUAACCACUUCAUGUCGUUGGACAUAAUCUAGGCAAUAUCAAGGGACUUGUUGAGUAAUUGAGGCAUAGAAUUAACAACCUAAAAUCUCAGGUUCAAGGCCUUCUAUAACACAUAAUAUACACAUAUCUACUCAACCAUGGUGAGCUGAUUUCUGGACAUCUGUAAGGUAGGCUGCAGCAAGCUUUUUGGUGAGAUAGUCAAGGUGCGAGCAAAUUGAUCCAGACACCACUAUAAUAAGUAAAAAUUCUGUUCAAAGUUAACAGAAUAAUUAAAUGGUAGAGAAUAUUUUUAGUGAUUAUAUUAUAGAUGAAAGUUAAGAGGAUCAUUAAGAAUUAUAUGGAAAAUAUUCUUAGUGAUUAUAUGAUAAAUAUAGGAAACCAUAGAAACAAAAAGACUUCCCUCAUACAAGCAGCCCUCUUGAUAUUACCAACCAGUGCCAACAAGAAUAUCUUUUCAUCUUCUUCUCCUACUUAUUGGGCGUAUUAGGCUUCUAGGAAAUUUGUAGAAACCUAAGUGAAUAUAUAUUUGGAGAUUUUAUUACUCAUCUCUUUCUGAUUGAUCAUUCUAGGAAGUACCAUUCUUACUUCCAGCGAUCAUUUAGGCAGCACUAUGCUUUUUCAGGAGCCAUAACUCUUUCCAGAGAACAUUUGAGGCACCACACUGAUGUAUUUCAGGCAACCAUCUAUUCCUAGAGAUUUGUGUCACCAUAUCACUUCUCCCUAAAUUAGAAAAAAACAUUUCCCUAUGGGCUGUAAGGACACUUCUUUGGCUACAUCGACAACAGUCUGUGAGAAAGAAUAAGACCUUUUACGGCGAAUGUCACUAUUCCAGCAACUCAUUUCAGAUGACUGUCAAUUAUUCUGGUGAGUUCUAAUACAGUGCAAGGUGGCAUGUAAUCCUAACAUUGUUUUUGAUAAGUAGAAUUUAUUCAUAGAAACAGCAACAAUCAAGUAUUAAACCUGUAACAGAAGUUUGACUCAACUCCUAUCCAAGAUACAAGGAGUCUAUAUGAAGUCCAAAAGUGUUAUCAAGAUAAUUUUUACUGAGAAUUAUUCUAAAGGUUUAUACUAUAGUCUAGAGAACUAUUAAUUACUAUGUCAAAAUUGAAAUCCUCAAUGAGUAUGGUUCCUUAGUCCAUAGAAACUCCUAAGAGUCUAGUGUUUUCCUAACAAUAAAAGCUUAGUUAGGGUUCCUUACAUGAAUUAUGGUGUACUUCUGUGUAUACGACUUUGUGAAAAGGAUUUAAAAGAUAUUAGCACCUAUGAUGAAGGGAAAUAGAAUUUCGGAAACAGCCGUUCUACCUCUGGGCUCGGAGGUAGAGGUCAGGGCUGUGUUCACUCUACCCUCCCCAGAUCCCACUCCGUGGGACUAUAUUGGGUAUGCUGUUGAUGUUGUUGGAAUGUCAGUCAUAGGGUGGAGAAUCUUAUAAUAAGAGGGCUAGUGACUAGUCAAGUCAAAAACCUAGUUUGAUCUACAUGACUGGUUAUAUGGGUAGCCGAAUGGUAAUAAAAUAUUAACUAUAAAGGAAAACAACAAAAACGCUAGAAAGAGUCAAAAUGAAUAUUGAUAAUAUAUCUGUGAAUUUACACUAUUCCGAUUUAAUUAAUUCUAUUUAUACCAUGUGAGUCCUCCAGUUUUACCACUUCUAAGUUUCUAUGUGAUCUGGUUAGAUUGCAUGAGCCUGGUCCUAAGUUUGUAGUAUCCUACCACUCAGAUUGCUAUUUUGACAGUUUAGGAAAAGAAUAAAAUGCACAUUAAAGUACGUUGCUUUUGUUCUCACCAGAAAAGUGGAAAGAGAAAAAUGAAUUUUCAUCCCUUGAUAAAUCAGAUAACUUAUCCACCUUCACUUCCUUGGCUCAUUUGGUACAACGAUUCCUCAUUGCCCUGCCUUUCUGCCAUACUCAACACUUGUCUGUCCAAAUGGUCGGUCUAGCCAUAUGUUGGGUCAAAACUGAAAAUAGAAGAAGUGAGGGAAUGAUCUUAAAGGUUUCAUAUUAUCACCAACUCUACUGGAAAGGUCAAACUGUGUUUCCAAGGGAAAUAGAAUUAGGAGACGGAAGCAGGGUAACAGGGACAAAAGCGAAGAGACAAAACAGAAUCCUGCAAGAAGCAAAAGAUUCUUAUAGUUAACAGUUAGUUGUACAGCUGAAGAUGCUGGAAUGGAGGCUAAAGUUUGAAAACCAAUAUUUAAGAUGGAAGGAAGAUGCUUUAUGAGAAAAUAGAAACAUUCAUCCAAACUGGUGUCUUAUAAACCACGGGCAAUCCAAUACAUUGACAGAGAACAGGAGCUAAGUAUUCCAUUAUUACUGAUCUGGCAUGAAAUGCUAUCCAUUGAAAAUGUAACAAAACUUCACCUUUUCAAGAUUUAACUGGAGAGACGUCACAUAAGAAUAGAUCAGGGACUAUGGCUUUAAUUUGUCUAGCAAUCACAGCAUAGCUCAAGAUAGAACUGUCUUAUAGUUCACACUACACAAUUACUUUGAAGCAUUUUGUAUCAUAUCAAGCAAAAACAUCUUCAGCUAAACAAUUUUCAUAUAACCCCUACAGUCUGCAUAUUAACGCGAAAAAAGAUUCUACACAGACACAGCCUGAUUUCCUGCAAGAGCAAUUAAAGAAAGGGUUUUCAUGCUCUUGAGAGGGGUACAUGAUUGGAAAAACAAAACCACGUGCUACCUUUUUACUGACGAUCACCAUUAUCAACUUCAAGGAUUUAGUAGUCUGCCUAAUCCAGCUGUACUUGAAAAAUUGGCCAUCUUUUAAAUUACCUUUACAGUGUAAAGGUUCUAUUGUGGGAAAAGUUCUAGUAAGACAGGGACUUCAAAGGCUGCUUAUCCUCCAGCCCCCUUCUAACUAGUGUCAAAAUCUUAAAACAAAAUCUUCUGAAUCUUAAUCAUUUGAGCCAUGCCAAUUCAACAAGGAGAUUCAAUUUGUGGUAGAGGUAGUAAUGAUUUCUUUCCGGUGAAGCCCAUUUCUUGAAAAUCGUCUGCUAGGGCACACUAUCUGUUGUCAAAUAUCUACCAAGAUGACAGCUGGUGUUAACCUACACCUUGAUCAUUCCUAUGUUCACAUAUAAGUUCAGGUACAGCAAGGAGCUUUUGGAUAUGGUAUUGGAAGAUAAUUCCUGGUAGAUUGAUCAUGGAAGCAGCACUUGACCCCUUUUAAUAAUAAGACUGGAUAGACCACCCUAAUUUAAGACAUAACUAAGAAUUCUGCUCGGGGGUUAAUACUGCCAUCAUGACAUAUUGCACUCAUUUUCAUAGCACACUCUUCCAAUGGUACACAAAUCCAGGAACAGAAAAUCUCGUCUAGAGCUGCUUUACGAUCUUCAAGUGGGGUAACUAUGACGCAGCUGUAAUUUUAUUUUUUUUGUACAACUGUAAUUAAUCAUUUACAGAACAUCAAAUUUAAUUACUCCUUACUGUACCAGACAUCAUAGUUUAUGACCAUCAACUUCAAGGCCUCCAAAACAACAAUAGCUUAUAAUUUUAUCCCUGAUAGCAUAUUGUCGAACAAAAUUGUUAAUGGUAGGAAGCAACAAAUAUAAAAACGACGCCUUGUGGCAAUCUCAAGGAAGUAACUCUAAAUUGAAGUUACACAAUCUUAAGGGUACAUAUGGAUCUAAUUCCCAGACCACAAGGAGGGGGACGGCUCAAUUUAAAUCUAAGUAGCACCCAUUACAUCUAGGCUUGGUUUCCUAUUGAUUUCACAGCUAGUUUUAUCAAGCAUGCAGAAAUAUCCAUUAGUUUCUCCUAUGAUAAUCCAAAACCAUGUAUUAAAAUAUAAUUUCCUGUUAGCAGUUUUGGCAAAGGGAAGCGGCAAUGCUGAGGCAACAACUACAGAACUUGCAAGAGAAUCACCGGUAAACUCUCUUGUCAUAUGUUAGAUAUAUUUCUUACUUCCACAAAUAACUUAUUCAAUGAUCUAUAGCACAAACACAGGGACUCUUGUCUCCAUUGUAAGUUUUAAGACAUUAAAGUAAAAAUUACUCCCUUCAUUCACUUUUACUUGUCACAUUUGGAAUUAGCACACCCAAUAAGAAAACAAUAAUUGACAUGGCUAUUUUACCACACUACCCUAUUAAUUGAUGUUUAGUAUUAAGUGUUGAAAAAUGAUCUGGGAAUAUGUAAUCAAUGCUAAGGGGAAGACAUGGAAAAAAUUUAUUGUCUUUUCUUGAUAUGUUAAAGGUGAAGAGUAAAAGUAGGUUUGGGGGUUUCACAUGAAUCCCUAUUAAUUGAUGUUUAGUAUUAGGUCUUGGAAAUGGUGUUAUCCACUUUAAUGUUGAGGGACUAGGAAUUAGAGAUUUUAGAAUGUUCAUAAACUCUACCAGGAAAGUUGGUUUGGGGUUUCACAUGGAACUCAACCGUUGUGGGCAUCGACAAGUAUGCUAUUAAAUGGGAUAAUGAGGACCAAUCAUAUUGAGCAUCUCUUUAGAGGAUAUUGGGAAAAUGUGGAGAGAUCCUAUCUAAGUGAAAAUUUAUAUAUACUUUUUUGAAAACUACCCAUCAAAGCGACAAAUUUAAAAGGGGAGAGGGGUUUUGUUGUGUGUGUGUGUGGGAGGGGGGGAGGGGGGCUAGGCUAUUGAAACUAGAAUCAAUGUCUUGAAAUAGAGAGGGUAGAGUCGUUGAUUGUGUUAAGUUUUCUGAUCAUUUUUAAUACUUUCAACCAACAGAUAUUAACAGUUGUCGACAAUUUUUUUAUUUUCUGAAAUGGUAACAUAAUAAUUGUCCACAAUUAUAGAGAAUGGGGGAGAAUUUUAUAGGACCUAUUGCUUGGAUCACCAUACAUGCAAAGAAAAUACAGAAAUACUCCCAAUUCACAUUAUUUUGUAGUUAUUACUACUCGUUUCUGUAUUUUCUUUUUUCAAACUACUUGGAAAUGCUUUGUUUUAAGCGGAGGGUCUAUCGGAAACAGUCUCUCUAGCUCUAACGAGGUAGGAGUAAGGUCUGGUUACACUCUACCCUCCCUAGACCUCAAAUGUGGGAUUACAUUGGGCAUGUUGUUUUUGUUGUUCUUUCUUUAGGUAGGAAUUUUCCCAUAACAUUAGUAUACGUUGAUUUCAUCAACAAUGUUCCUAGGCAAAAUAAAAUAUCUCCUCCAUUGCACUACUUAAAAUAUUUAACUAUUGUGAUCUUUUGGAUCGAUGGUGUUAUUUCUUUUUAUUUUUUGGGGGUUGGGGGGAAUAAAGGUAAUAUUUGAGGGUUUUACUUUUCUGUCUUUAAAUGGAUGGAGUGAGGAAAUAGAGAAAUGUGUAUUAAUUGACACUAAUUCCCGUGAUAGCUAUUUUGUUCAUAAUCCUGAGCUUUCUUUUGACACUACAGAAGUUCCGUUAAAACAUGUCCUGUUUUUCUUCGUUUCACUCGCUUUUUGACAGAACAUUUUGUUAACGAACUUAACUCUCCUUUCUCUGCUUCUCCCUUCCUGUCCCUCAAAACCCUUGAAGAACAAAAAAAAUUGAAUGUACCUCCUCUUCUCUCCUCUCAUUUCUAUCUGUCUUUCAAUUCUAUAGCUCUAUCAGAACCCAACACCCACACCCCAGUUUUCUUUUUCUAUGUUCAGUGGGCAGUAGAAAGAGAGAAAAGGAUAGUUCUAGUAGUGAUACAAAAGGUGUCUCAUCAAGGAUGCCGUUUGGAAUGUUCCUUCAAUAUCUUCAACAGUAUAGGCAUCCUAAGCCAACCACAAGAAAAUGCAUGAAACUAAGAACUAAACUAUCACCACCUUGCUGGAAAAAAGCAAGUGACACUAGAUAGCUUGUAACAUCAGUUCACAAAAUAGAAUAUGACAGAGAUAUCUGCUCUAGGUUAUCCUUAAAAAGAUUAUAUCUGUAAGUGCUGACAGAAAGGAUACUCAGAUUAUUUCAAGCUACUGGUUUUACAAUCAAAAGGAAGAGGCACUCAGGACCAUGGUUGUAACCCUUCAGAUCAGGGUUUUGAAGGAUCAAACAACAUUCGGUCUCUCUUAUGAAUUAAAGUAUUAGCAUGGACUUCUAGGGUGUGUCUGGUAUGGAGGAAAACAUUUUCUAGUAGAAGUGGCUUCUUGUUUAUUUUCUUGUGUUCGGUAUGCAAGUAAAAAUUUAUAAUCCUAAAAGUAUUUCUAUAUAUAUCUAAGACAAAACUAUGACUCUAUGAGGGUGGGGGUGGAGGAAUUCAGGGGUGGGCUGGGUGGUUGUGAGGAGACAAUGUGAUUUGUUUUACCUACUUUCAUUAGGAAAGUUAUUUUCCAUAUUAUUUUUAUUAUGACAAGGGAAAGCCGCAGUCGUUACCCUUUGGGCGCGCACAGGGUAAAACCCCCGCUCCUAUGCAAUAGCUCGCAAACCACAUAGGAGAGGUAACCCGCACUAGGCAAGCCCGGUGCGAUGAGCUCGAUCUAGAAGGCAAACCCCUUGCUUUCGCUGGCAAGGGGUUUCGAACUUGAGACCUCCAACAUGGAAGUCCUAAGCCCAAACCACUGGCCAACCCCAAAGGGUCAUUUUCCAUAUUUUCAAGGAGAUUGUUUUCCUAAAGAAAAUAUUUCUCAAAAUUUUUGGUCAACUGAACUGCAGUGAAUCAUGCAAUUCACUGGAGGAUUCUGUAAAGAUGUCUUCACUAUAUAAUCCCAGCAAGCAACUCAAUGUUGGGGAGUGAAAAUUCAAUAAUAAGCACACCUCAAAUGGUGUUAUAGAUUUCUUCCAGAGCUCCAUCAAACUGUUUAACAUCAACCCCCACCCACACCCANNNNNNNNNNNNNNNNNNNNNNNNNNNNNNNNNNNNNNNNNNNNNNNNNNNNNNNNNNNNNNNNNNNNNNNNNNNNNNNNNNNNNNNNNNNNNNNNNNNNNNNNNNNNNNNNNNNNNNNNNNNNNNNNNNNNNNNNNNNNNNNNNNNNNNNNNNNNNNNNNNNNNNNNNNNNNNNNNNNNNNNNNNNNNNNNNNNNNNNNNNNNNNNNNNNNNNNNNNNNNNNNNNNNNNNNNNNNNNNNNNNNNNNNNNNNNNNNNNNNNNNNNNNNNNNNNNNNNNNNNNNNNNNNNNNNNNNNNNNNNNNNNNNNNNNNNNNNNNNNNNNNNNNNNNNNNNNNNNNNNNNNNNNNNNNNNNNNNNNNNNNNNNNNNNNNNNNNNNNNNNNNNNNNNNNNNNNNNNNNNNNNNNNNNNNNNNNNNNNNNNNNNNNNNNNNNNNNNNNNNNNNNNNNNNNNNNNNNNNNNNNNNNNNNNNNNNNNNNNNNNNNNNNNNNNNNNNNNNCACCCCCCCCCCCCCCCCCCCCCCAAGAAACGAGAAGUCACAGUUGUUUAAAACAGGAUGUAUAAGUCACAUACAGUCAACUGUCAAUUUCUCUGUUGGAAUCACAUGUUUCUUAACAGUUUAUUUCUGCAAUAUAGACAAAUGAUGGGUGAAGAGCUUUCUGGUCUGAGCGUCAAAGAUUUGCAGAACUUGGAGAACCAACUGGAAACGAGUCUCCAUGGUGUUCGUGUAAGAAAGGUAUGAAAUUUCCAGAUCCAACAAAUGUUCACUAUAUUAAUUAAAUAAAAACUAACUCUACCCCCACAUGUCUACAGGACGAAAUUCUGAUUGAUGAGAUACAAGAACUAAACCGAAAGGUCAAUCAACAUAAAAUGCAGAGACUCUUAUCAAUUUAUUCUAAUCUAAAAAGUAUAACUUCUCAAGAUACUAAAUUAAUAUUUUUCCUUGCAGGGAAACCUCAUUCAUCAGGAAAACAUGGACCUAUAUAAGAAGGUAAACCUAAUUCGUCAAGAAAAUAUGAAAUUGUGUAAGAAGGUAUCAAUGUACAUCACUAAAAGCUUUCACAUGCUUCAAGAUCAAUUAUUUCCUUUUGUUUUCUUAUACCAAGUGAAAGAGUCAACCAUUCUUCUUAGAACUCUGGCAAAUUGUUUCUACAUUGUGUUAAACUACAGGUUUAUGGAAAUAGAGAUGCAAAUGGAGUGAGCAGAAGUCCCCUUGUUGCGAACAGUUUAAGCAUCAAUGAGGACCUUCAUGCUCCUGUUCAUCUCCAGCUUAGCCAGCCACAGCAACAGAACUAUGAGGCAUCGGGAACUACCGAAUUGGGGUAAUUUCUUGCUCAUAUGCUUCAUCUGGAAGCACAAUGGUAAUUCACUAACCUGAUCAUUGACUAUCGUCUUACUGGAAAAUGCUGCAGGCUACAACUGCAUUCGCAGUGAAAACCAGCCUCGUAAGAGUUUUCUGUUCUCAUGUUGAAGAAGCAGCUGUGCUUACAGAGCUAUGUUUUAACUUUUAAUGGUAGUAAUGAUAUAGAACCCAGAGAUGUCAGGAAAAAAUCUUCAGUUCACAAGGUUUAUGACAUCAAGUUUGACAAGUGUGAGGUAAUCCUUAGCACAACUACUUAAAGUAAGAUAACAACAAAUAAAGGAAUACAUUGGCACAGUAUCUCUACAUAUCUUUAUCUUUCUUCGCACUUCAUGCUUAUGAUGUGUAUGCCCUGUAUACUAGGAUUGUACUUGAUGACGUUUUCAAAUAGCUAUAAAUAGUUGACUACUUAAAACAGGGGUGGGAGCAAAGAAAUGCAAUCAGAAAAAGGAUAUACAUAACAGUAACUCCUCAAAGAAAUUCCUUGAGAAACACACCACAAGCAAACAGUACAAAGCAGAGCUAAGAAACUUAAUAAAGUAAGCCAUACCGCAUUGUUGCAUCAAUAUGCUUUGCGUGCAAUAGUCUUUAGCAAGGGACAGAUUAAAUUCAUUUCACACCAGUGUCGAACUUCAAAUUCAAGUGCUAAACAAAAAAGAUACAACAAGCAUUUGUAUUAGUAAUGCUCUUCCCAGAAAUUUUAGAAUGGAUGAUCAAAUAAUAUAUGAAGCAACAACAACAACAAUAUACCUAGUGCAAUCCCACAGGUGAGGUCCGGGUCGGUAGACUGUACGCAGACGUUAUCUCUAUCUCAUGGAGGUAGAGAGGCUGUUUCCAAAAGACACUCGCGCUCAAGUAACAGAUAAUAUAUGGAGCAUGCUCCACAAACAGUCUUUUCUGCCGAAGACAGUAAGUACUUCUUAAACAAGCUAUUUCUGGAUCACAAGGAUUCCAAUGGUAAACCUACACGAAUGCAUGCACUAUCAACAACCAAAUUUUCUAUACUACAGAAGACAGACUCUCAUCAAAUGACCUAUUUGUACAGCAAUGGAUUGCAUACUAAAUUAACAUGGAAGAAACAUGUUUAGGUCAUGAUGUGUGUGAGCAUAAAGUCCAUCGUAGGCAAAACUUCGUAUUACUUUGGAGAGUACACAUAAACAGAACAUGUCAUCUAAAAGGAGUAAAGUCUUCACCACGAAGGAUUAUUCAUCUUCUAUCAGGAGAUAGUUUACAAGAACGUAAAUGAAGGAAUAACUGUUACCAUUGACAAAAAAAGUGAAUGAAGGGCUAUUAGGUAGUGAAUAGGACUAGGACAUUAAUAAGGCAUAAACUCCAUGGAAGUUAUCAAACUUUAGUGCGUCAGGUACUAUGUAUUGACAAGGUAAAUGGAAUUUAUAAAACUAGAAAUUUGAAUCUAAUUGAACAGCAAAACUGCAAGCAUGCUAUGUUAUACUACAAAAGAAUAUGAUACCAUUAAUUUAGGAAUUCUGGAAAACUGUAAAAGAGAAGAUUUGUUUUAGAUUUUAGUGGAAUAAUCAGAGCACGAUAGAGCAUCUUCUACAAUGCCAAUACUUAAACCGAUUGGAACAUUUAUUACAACCAAUGCUCAAUAACAGCAGCAGCAGCCAUUUCAAACAGUGAGAAUACAAGACAUAAUUUAACAAUGUCCUUUGUGUCAAGAUUCUCAGUUCAAGACAAAUAGACACAAAAGAGGGGGAGAUUAGGUUCCAUUUUGACUAGCACCUGGAUAACAAUGAAGAUGAUUCUCACAUCUCCAUGUGGUGCAGUAAGGUUCUUAAAGUUGCAUGAACGAACAAAUUCUGAGGAAACUGGCCUGACUCAAGAGAAAAAAUGGAUCAUCUAGAGUUACUGCAGUAGUAUGUCUGCUAAAUAACAAUUUUCAUCAACGUAGUAAAAAGAUCAAAAAAUUUCCAAACAAGUUGGACAAGGAUAGCGUCUUCCACACAGCAAAGAUCUAUAACACCACAUUUGAGUGAGAUGACAUGGUACUCUCUCAAACACCAAAUUGUCUUUUAGCAACAUAAUAUGUCCAAUCCAAGUAAAUAAAACUACAGAAAGGUAAAUAUGCUAGUCGGCACUGUUACAACCACAGCAUUAAUAAGUUACCCUAUUGAUGGGACAGGCCUGGAAAUAGUGUUACUUAAUUUAUCUCUAAACAUCAUUUGUACUGCCUAAAGUUCCAGUUUGAGGUGUCCUUGCAAUAUAGUAUGAGGUGAUUCCAAGCUUUCUUUCCCCAUUUUUUUAAAAUUUCACAAACUCUUUUUAACUUUAUAAACGGUUUAACCUUCUACAACCAUUCCAAAAAUGUGACAUUGCUUUAAGGUAGGUGAACCAUAAACCUUUACAUGCCUACAAUACCCAAAAUCUCGAUGACUCUUGGGUGUCCCAGAUCACACACCUCUUUAUUCAAGAGUUUAUGGAAGUAUGUCUGCCAUCUACACCUAAUAAGAGUCCCAUCCACCAAUACCGUGUCAUCCUCAUCUUUGAUGCACUUCACUUGCUCCAAGUCACAAGUCUUCUCCUCUCUCACCUUGGUUGUCGUGUACAACUGCUUGUCCCAGCCUAUGUCCCCAAGUUCUUCAUACAGACGUCCAAAACCCCUGCAGUCUUUGCUGCCUUAACUGCUAAUUUCACCUCCUUCCUCACUUUCUUAUACUCCUCCUUGUUCAUCCUCUUCUCCUCAUUGUCUUUUCUUUCUACUAUCUUCACAUAUGCUGCUUUCUUGGCGUCCACUUUUCCUUGGACCUCUUCAUUCCACCACCAAUCCUCUUUUGUGUCCACUGGAGUAACCCUUCAAGAUCUCUAGCACCGCUCUAGCUGCUCCCUUAAUGUAAGUCACAGUCAUCGACCACAUGCUACUCGUGUCCCCACUGCUCCUCCAGGUCCCCAUUGCUAUCAACAUCUCCACAACUCCUAAGUAUUAUCCUAAGUCAACGCACCCCACUUGAUCUGCCUUGAUCUUUGGGUGACCAUACACGACACUUUUCUCCUCUUCCUCGUUAUUACGAUGUCUAUCAUAACCAUCUUAUUUUGCUUAUAAGUCAUAUUCACAGUUAAGUCAUGUGAAUCUAUUGUAUAAACAAUAUGGUAACAAGUCAACUUUAUUGCAUUAACAAGACUAACUAUAACUGAAUUAUAUCAGUAACAGAAGUAUCAAAUUUGUUUCUUUUAUCCCUCUGAACCUAAAACUUCCUCUGACACAUUAACAAAAGGGUCCUCUAAACCUAAUACUUACUCUGUCACAUUUACCUAAGGGGAUACUAUUACUUUUUGGGGAGUCAGAGGUUUUUCUUUUACGACAAGCUUUUAUAAAAAAUUACUAAAUAUUUUGAUCUAUUAAUUUUUGUGACCAACCGCACUUGUUUCACAAUUUUCACUAUGUAAAAUUUAUGUCAAAUUCUUGAUGAAUCUAUGUCUAAAUCCACACUGAAAAUUAGGUAUUUUGACCCUCAUACUAUAAAGCAGAGGAAGUGUUAUACAAUAUAUAAGAUCACUUGGAACUUCUAUGAUGCACUUUACAAGGAUGUGAUUAAAUGAAUGCACUAAAGCUUUCCAUCACAUCCAGAACUAUCUGUGGAAUGGAAACUGGACUAGCUCAACUAGGACCAACUGAUCCGUCAUUUACCAAAACGCUAACAUAGCUCACUAGCCACCAAAUCUAUGAGGUAGAAAUCCAUCUCAAAAUGAGACUAGGUUUAACACAACAAAAACAAAGUAUUAUUGAAAUCUUGAAACUCACCAGUUGCAUAAACAACUGAAUUUUCUAUUUGCCAACCAUUAUCUAAUUUUAUAAAAACAAGAGUCUCAAUAACUUAUGGUUUAUGGUUUUUAAAGAUGAGGAAUAUUUAUAUGUUCCAAUAAUUAAUAUUUUACAGGUUACUUUAAGUUAUGUCUUACGUUAUUAUUAAUCUACAACCAUUUCAUUUGACCAACAGCCAAAUCAAAUUUCAAGUAAGACUUUAUAUUUUUUUGACUUUAAUGAGAAAAAUUGUUCUUUUCUUAAUGUUUCAAAUUAUUACUAAUUAUUUUCAAUAAUAUCUCAAGCAACAAAUUAUAAGAACAUUCUGCCCUAACCUUCACAAAAGUAAACCUAGGUCAGUAACCAAAAUAGGAGGCAACAUAAGAAAGUAUUUUGGUAGAAGCAGUUACUGUAAUGUGAUAACUUUCAAGCGAAAGGUUGCUAGUGAGCUAAAGACAAAUACAGCAAAUAUAGAAUGAUCACUUAAACUUUAAAAUUCAUCAAGCUGAGAGAUAUAAGCUUCAUGAUUAAUCCUUCUUGUUCCAAAAAUAAAGCUUUGAGGAGUUAUCCAUGUGUGUACAGUGUCAUAUCAGUCCAUACACUAACAAGUAUUUUGAAAUUACAGGUGAACAACAGUUUGAACCUGUGCGUGGUAGAUUCAUAAAUCACUGUCUUAAUCCAUAUGGCUACAUCCACUCCCUCACCUUCUUAAGUUCCACUUUUACAGAUUUAAAUUGGAAACAAAAUAUUCAAGUCAAAUAUCUAUCAUCUUUCUUAUUUCAAUGAUGUUCUUAUUCAAAAUUAUGAUUAAAAUAUAAAGUAAAAAUAACCAAAAAAAGAAAAUAUAGCAGCAAGAAGAGGUAAAAUCAAAAUACAUUACUCAUAAGCUAAUCUUUUCUCCUUUUCAGAAAAACAAAUGCGCCCACUCAGGCUUUGGGGAGGGUAGAAUGUACGCAGACCUAACAACUAUCUCGUGGAGGUAGAGAGGUAAUUUCCGAAAGACUCACAGCUCAAGUGCAACAAAUCUAGGUACAAAUAAGACACAGACAAUGACAACAAAAAUAGUACGACAGUUGAAAUAUCAAAACAAGAACUACAAUAAUACUAGUAUAAGAAUACUAGUUGGUAAAAUAUCUUUUCUUUCCUAAGCAAUAUAUAAGAUCCAAUACAGUGUACAACGAUCAUCCUUCAAUCCUACAACUCUUUAUUCUAUCCCUCAAUAUGGACAAUUCCCUAAACUUUAAUCUUAAAAGCAUAUGCCUAAACUAAAGGAAUCAUUUACGCAAGAUGAAUUUUCAUUUCUCUCGAAAAAAAUCCUCAAUUUAUGUUAGUACAAUGCUGAAAUACAAAAGAAGUAGAUUAGGUAGCCAAUCCAUUUCACGCAGUAAAUUGCUUGUAAUAUGAUCACUAAACAAUUUUAGAGGGACAAAGCUAGUUAACAAUAAUAUAUUCCAGAGAAAUGUGUAACAGUUAACAUGAUGUUACAAGAUUUCAAUUAGGUCGCCAAGUGGUAUUUCAGUUCAACUUCUACUGUAGGCCAUUAAACUGGUAAAUCAAUCAUUUUCUUGCUGAUAAUGUGAUAGCUAUCUGUAUUUUACAUGAUGUUGUAUAGAUCACUUAAGAUCAAAAAUACAAAAUGAUAACAAAAGUAACAGGAGGUAAUCAUAACACAGUUCGCGGGAGAAGCCAUAAGAUGUACAGCAGCACUAAGAUUAUAUCACACAGAUAGAAAGCAUAUUUGACCUCUAAUAUACACAAUUACAUAAAGUAAAUGCUAUAUGUAUUCCGUCAUACUAUUCUAUGAACUACUAUGAUAAAUUGGUGCCGAAAAAGAAAAAAUGCAAAAGAAACAAACAGAAGAAAAGUGUACAUGCAAUAACAAAUCUGAAGCCAGCACAGAUUUCACCGAGAAACAUUAAAGUAAUUUUCUUUAACUCAAGUACAGAAGCAAAAUUGUUUGCCAACAGUACUUCAAAGUGUAACAUCAAAUCCAAGACAAUAUGCUUCCUAGUAAAGAAAAGAAUCGUGAAGAAAAGAAACUCCAAUAACUCGCAAGGAAAGAUUUGUGAACCAGAAAAAAAAAAAAACUAAGAAAAUACGAAACUAAAUGAAACGUAUAUUUAAUUAAGUAUGAAGAGAACAACAUUACGCACCUGAAAAACGAAGCAACGGCAUUUCCACAAUGCUGUGAGUGUAAUUGCAUACCACAUCUAUUAUAAACUUGUGAUCAGGAAAAAGUUCUGCAAGGGAAUUGAAAAAGGCAAAACAAAAAAUGAUUCCGAUCAGCAAGCUGCGAGAUAAAAUAUUCAAUAAAGAAUAAAAGGAAACGUAUCGGAAAACGCAGUUAGUUUAGAAGCAAAGGUGAAAAUUGAGUUUAGCUUUCAACAAAGAUAAGCAUAUGAUAUUAAAUAUUAUUUUUUCUUCUUUCUCAGGAACCAAAAAGAAAAAAACUGUGAAUUGAACCACCGCCAUGAGAGGAAAGAACAAACAUUGCGAGUUCAUCCUGGAGUGAUCGAUCGAAAAGUUUAUCGGACAAUUCGAGGAGAAGAUGAAGAAAGAAUUGAAAGAAGAGAAUUCGAUUUGUGUUCGAAACAGUAGGUUUCACAUAGAAUAGAGAGAGGAAAUGAAUAGAGACGGGAAAAACAAUAUAUGCGUGAGCUGUGAAGGAUAAAAAGGACGGGGAAAUUGGGAUGAGAAACCCGAAGCAGAGUGGGGCAGGGGGUUGAGAAAAUUCUGGGGACUGCUGCUGUUUCCUGGUGGCGCCCCAAUGGUGAUUAUUUUAUGGCGUUAUUAUAUGCUUUUCUGGGGACUUCUUGUUUUAU
RNAcentral lists this long non-coding RNA (18164 nucleotides) under Solanum tuberosum (potato). Its description in RNAcentral is "long non-coding RNA (STUB_LNC005169)". The record is from RNAcentral. Lineage: Eukaryota; Viridiplantae; Streptophyta; Magnoliopsida; Solanales; Solanaceae.